Molecule: ribosomal RNA, 511 nt
Filed under: uncultured bacterium
Lineage: Bacteria
Description: bacterial SSU rRNA
Rfam family: Bacterial small subunit ribosomal RNA
Source: RNAcentral
AACGAACGCUGGCGGCAGGCCUCAUACAUGCAAGUCGAGCGGACGGACCCCUUCGGGGGCGAGUUAGCGGCGAACGGGUGAGUAACAGGUGGAUGAUCUGCCUCCCGGUGGGGGAUAACGGCUGGAAACGGCCGCUAAUACCGCAUUCGGUUGAUGCGUUGCGGCGCAUCAAAGAAAGGCGCUUCACGGCGCUGCCGGGAGAUGAGUCCGCCCCCCAUUAGCUAGUUGGCGGGAUAACAGCCCACCAAGGCUUCGAUGGGUAGCCGAACUGAGAGGUUGAUCGGCCACACUGGAACUGAGACACGGUCCAGACACCUACGGGUGGCAGCAGUAGGGAAUAUUGGGCAAUGGGCGAAAGCCUGACCCAGCCAUGCCGCGUGAGUGACGAAGGUCCUAUGGAUUGUAAAGCUCUUUUCUGAGGAAAGAACAUCCGGGGUAGGAAAUGACCCCGGUUGACGGUACCUCAGGAAUAAGGAACGGCUAACUCCGUGCCAGCAGCCGCGGUAAUACG